This 211-nucleotide long non-coding RNA is filed under the name Gallus gallus (chicken). Lineage: Eukaryota; Metazoa; Chordata; Aves; Galliformes; Phasianidae. The record is from RNAcentral.
GAAGAUGUUAAAGUCCCAUGCUAUCCAAAAGUUUUCUUAACAAAGCCUGGAACCAAACUGAAGCUGGAGCUGUGUGGCAAACAUACUUGGAAUCCUCUAUCAGUGUCACUCUGUGACAGGUUGUGUUCAAAAAUUGAAGUCAGCAGAAGAUUACAUUGCUCUUCUUGGAACAGUUGGCUGGAACAGUGGAUUUGCAGAGGUAAGAAUUUAG